ACAGACCGGUGGGCAAGAAUCAAUCAGAUCCUGACGCUUGCAAAGCCUGCAACUGUAACACAAAUGGAACAGCACACGUCUCGAACAUAUCGUUUGGUGACUGCGUAAGAGAUGAAAAUGAAUUGUCUAUUCAUCCCGGGAAGCAACCAGGGGACUGUUACUGUAAGGCGUUUGUACAAGGCCGACAAUGUGACACGUGCCAGGCCGGUUAUUACAGGCUUACUA
This is a long non-coding RNA of Orbicella faveolata, 225 nucleotides long. Lineage: Eukaryota; Metazoa; Cnidaria; Anthozoa; Scleractinia; Merulinidae. The record is from RefSeq and is a predicted model, not a curated record.